This 838-nucleotide small RNA is filed under the name Cryptococcus neoformans H99. Its description in RNAcentral is "Cryptococcus neoformans var. grubii H99 hypothetical RNA". Lineage: Eukaryota; Fungi; Basidiomycota; Tremellomycetes; Tremellales; Cryptococcaceae. The record is from RNAcentral.
CUCUAACCUCUAACCUCUAACCUCUAACCUCUAACCUCUGGAAUCCCUCGCUCCAUCAACUGACUUUCCAUCCACAACUUAGCCUCCCUAUAGAUUGUUCAAAAAAGGAGCAACGAGGAAUAUCAUUCUGAUCUUUAAAACGUUCAAUACCGGGAGGCCUUCAGAUGCUCUUUACCAUAGCGUCAAGUAUUGGUUUUAGGCUUUAGAGAUUUCUGGUUCCUAUUGAAAUCCUGCCGAGGUUUGUUGUUCUUUCGAAUGUAUAGGUCAAGGAACCUCAAGAGGGAAAUCUUCGGCGAAGCUUCAUUCAGCCUUGUGUCAUGAAGCACGGAUUUCCUGACAUAAUGGUAUAUUUGAAGUCUUGUGCAAAAAAGGAGGUUUAAUUAGAGAAUGAUCUGUAUUCCAGCAAAUAUACUGUAACUGGGCUUGUAUCUAUACAAAUGGAUACACGAGCCCGAUACACAAGCUGGCCAACCAUCAGUUCUUUGGUAGAAGUCUGCGUCUUGAAUCGGAACAUAUUCAAUCAAUCUUUAACAUAAUAAUAUGAAGGCUCAUGAUGUGAGAUGAUUAGAUGUUAGACAUCCUCCUUUUCGCCCUUCCCCUCCCAGGCUAGCUUGUGCGAGAAUACCACGCAUUCGAGCUCCAAACAACAAGGGCAAUGGUAGGACCCAAGGAAGGAAGGAGUCAUUUGACGAUCGUUGAUGGGCGAAACGUGCGUGAUUGGCUGAUCCUGUCUUUCAGAUCAUUCAUGCGCCUCCCAAGAGCUCCUAUGGGACUCCUACCUAUUACAUGUCAACAUACUUCCUGUAGUCUUUAAUAUUUGCGCUCCUGAUAUACAAAA